ACUCCUACGGGAGGCAGCAGUGAGGAAUAUUGGACAAUGGGCGAGGGCCUGAUCCAGCCAUGCCGCGUGCAGGAAGAAUGCCCUAUGGGUAGUAAACUGCUUUUAUACGGGAAGAAAUAGGGCAGCGCGUGCCCGCUUGAUCGGUGACCGUAAGAAUAAGGACCGGCUAACUCCGUGCCAGCAGCCGCGGUAAUACGGAGGGUCCGAGCGUUAUCCGGAAUCAUUGGGUUUAAAGGGUCCGUAGGCGGGCCGUUAAGUCAGGGUGAAAGUCUGCGGCUCAACCGUAGAAAUGCCUUUGAUACUGGCGGUCUUGAGUUAUGGCGAAGUGGGCGGAAUAUGUAGUGUAGCGGUGAAAUGCAUAGAUAUUACAUAGAACACCGAUUGCGAAGGCAGCCCACUAGCCAUGGACUGACGCUGAUGGACGAAAGCGUGGGGAGCGAACAGGAUUAGAUACCCUGGUAGGUC
RNAcentral lists this ribosomal RNA (465 nucleotides) under uncultured bacterium. RNAcentral's name for it is "bacterial SSU rRNA". It matches the Rfam family "Bacterial small subunit ribosomal RNA", at positions 335 to 795 of the family's 1533-position model. The record is from RNAcentral.